AGUAACGCGUGGGUAACCUGCCUCAUAGAGGGGAAUAGCCUUUCGAAAGGAAGAUUAAUACCGCAUAAGAUUGUAGUACCGCAUGGUACAGCAAUUAAAGGAGUAAUCCGCUAUGAGAUGGACCCGCGUCGCAUUAGCUAGUUGGUGAGGUAACGGCUCACCAAGGCGACGAUGCGUAGCCGACCUGAGGGGGUGGAUCGGCCACAUUGGGACUGAGACACGGCCCAGACUCCUACGGGAGGCAGCAUG
This 249-nucleotide ribosomal RNA is filed under the name uncultured bacterium. RNAcentral describes it as "partial 16S ribosomal RNA". It matches the Rfam family "Bacterial small subunit ribosomal RNA", at positions 109 to 353 of the family's 1533-position model. The record is from RNAcentral.